Molecule: transfer RNA, 67 nt
Filed under: Benedenia seriolae
Lineage: Eukaryota; Metazoa; Platyhelminthes; Monogenea; Capsalidea; Capsalidae
Description: tRNA-Phe
Source: RNAcentral
CUUUGUUUAGCUUAAAUUUAGAGCGUUUAUUUGAAGUGUAAAAAGUACUUAAGGGUAAUGAAGAAUU